Molecule: long non-coding RNA, 212 nt
Filed under: Gossypium raimondii (Peruvian cotton)
Lineage: Eukaryota; Viridiplantae; Streptophyta; Magnoliopsida; Malvales; Malvaceae
Description: long non-coding RNA (GRAI_LNC003649)
Source: RNAcentral
AACAAAGUGUUAGAAAGCGUAAGAGAAACAAAAAACGUAGACCUGCAACGAUCCCUAACUCUAGAGUCAAAGAAAAGCUUUAAUAAGAAGAAAACUUAAGAAAACUCUACCCAAUUUAAAAAAAAAACAAAAAUCAGAAACGUUCAGUGUCUUAAGAUUUUCAAAAAAAAAAAUUGAAGCUUUAAUUAUACUUGAGUCAAGAAAAGAUGAAG